This 313-nucleotide unclassified non-coding RNA is filed under the name fungal sp. RNAcentral's name for it is "partial internal transcribed spacer region". The stretch from base 1 to 45 matches the Rfam family "Eukaryotic small subunit ribosomal RNA", at positions 1787 to 1831 of the family's 1831-position model. Lineage: Eukaryota; Fungi. The record is from RNAcentral.
AGUCGUAACAAGGUUUCCGUAGGUGAACCUGCGGAAGGAUCAUUAACACAUUGUCCAUUUGAUGGUUGUAUGGAAGCUUUUUCAAAGAGUGAUUCAUUACUCGAUAGAACUUCUUACAAUCAUUCAAACAUCAUAGUAAACUUGUUGAAGUCCUCAACAACAAUAUUAAAAACAUUGUUCUUAAAGAGUGAAUUUCAAAGAGUGAUUAUCAAGAUCAAUCAUAAACUUAGUUUAUGAUUAGACUGAUGUUUAUAACAAAAUAUAUAUAAAAAAAACCAAGACAACUUGUAACAGUGGAUACCUUGGUUCCCAG